UAGGGAUCAGCGAGGGUUCAAUCAACGACCUCGCUGGCACCUCAUGAGAAAUCAAAGUGUUUGGGUUCCGGGGGGAGUAUGGUCGCAAGGCUGAAACUUAAAGGAAUUGACGGAAGGGCACCACCAGGCGUGGAGCCUGUGGCUUAAUUUGACUCAACACGGGAAAACUUACCAGGUCCAGACAUAGUGAGGAUUGACAGAUUGACAGCUCUUUCUUGAUUCUAUGGGUGGUGGUGCAUGGCCGUUCUUAGUUGGUGGGUUGCCUUGUCAGGUUGAUUCCGGUAACGAACGAGACCUCAGCCGCUAAAUAGUCACUUCCAGUUCGCUGGUCGGUAGACUUCUUAGAGGGACUUUCACCGUCUAGGUGAAGGAAGCGUGAGGCGAUAACAGGUCUGUGAUGCCCUUAGAUGUUCUGGGCCGCACACGCGCUACACUGACGCAACCAACGAGCACUCCUUGGCCGGAAGGCCCGGGUAAUCUCUAAUCUGCGUCGUGAUGGGGAUAGAUUAUUGCAAUUAUUAAUCUUCAACGAGGAAUGCCUAGUAGGCGCAAGUCAUCAGCUUGUGCCGAUUACGUCCCUGCCCUUUGUACACACCGCCCGUCGCUCCUACCGAUUGGGUGUGCUGGUGAAGCGUUCGGAUUGGCUUGCUCGGUGGGCAACCGCUGAGUUUGCCGAGAAGUUCUCUA
This 687-nucleotide ribosomal RNA is filed under the name Trebouxiophyceae sp. WJT71VFNP21. Its description in RNAcentral is "SSU rRNA". It matches the Rfam family "Eukaryotic small subunit ribosomal RNA", at positions 1047 to 1761 of the family's 1831-position model. Lineage: Eukaryota; Viridiplantae; Chlorophyta; Trebouxiophyceae. The record is from RNAcentral.